Non-coding RNA from Ictidomys tridecemlineatus (thirteen-lined ground squirrel), 5964 nucleotides. The record is from RefSeq and is a predicted model, not a curated record. NCBI's taxonomy places the organism in Eukaryota, Metazoa, Chordata, Mammalia, Rodentia, Sciuridae.
UUUUUCUGAGGCUGGCUUUGAACUCUUGGAUCAUCCUGUCUCAGCCUCCUGAGCCACUGGGAUUACAGGAGUAUGCCACCGUGCCUGGCAAACCUUUCACUUUAAAGGCUGCUUGAAAUAUAAAAUUUCUCUGAUAUAUCACCAUACAUAUAAUGUUGUCAAAGGCAACACUUGGGUUCUUUUACUGUUUAUUUAUAGAGCGGGCUUUGAGGAGAAGAAGGAAGAGUUUAAAGACUUGUGAGUAAAAAGAUCAAUGGAGGACAGAGGAGGAAGUUUCCUCUUAAUGUCCCUAACAUGAGCCAGGUCCUGUGUGAACUUCUGAAACAGCCCAGGUUUUCUUUAAGUUCCUUCCCUGUCAGUCUCCAGAGUAGUCCUACUUUGGGGGACAUAGUGUUGUUGCCUCCCUACUCCUCUAAGUGCCCGGAACUAUGAAAUUAAGCUUACUUACCCCAAAUUUCUAUUUUUUUUUUCCAGUCUGAUUAGUCACAGCAACAUAUUUGGAGGAAAGUAAUUAGGUUAUACUAAUUUACUACAAGGUAGGAAAGAUUAGCAGCCCUGUUACACUUAUAAUGGGUUUAUAUUUUUAUAAAAAAUGUCAUAACUCAGACCAGUCUCUAAUAGAAUUUUAGGCAAUAUAAUAGAAAAAAAUUUUUUUAAAUAUCAUGUAAUGUUGAGGAAAAUAUUUUAGGUUGGGAAGCUAACAUGUAGACAAGCUGACCCCAUUCAGUGUCUGCUUUUCUAGGUUGCUUUCUUCCUUUAUCUAGUUUUGAAAGCUUCUACUUUUAAAAUGAUAGCAACCAUGAAGAGAGUUGAAGGCUGUAUAUAAGUCAGUACAUAGAGGCAAAGAUUGCUUUUCUGUUCCUUUUAAUGGAUAUGCUUAUUAGACUGUAUCCUAGUAUGUCUUGGCUUUCAUAGUUGUGUUUUAGUUCUCUUUAGUUUGGAUUAUGUAUUCUUACAGAAAAAAAAAGUUAUCAUUUAAAGAAUAUAAUCUUCCUCAUCCCAGAAAGGAGGUGUGGUGGGUAAAAGAAUUUAUAGAUGCAUAAGACUUAUUUUCUUAACUUGCUGCAUUGCAUUUCCCUUCCCCCUUAAUUUUAGGUGCUUCUAAAGUAAAGAAAUAUCGUAAAUUAAUUUUAGAGCAGGCAAAAACAACAAGCCUGGAACUGGUUCCAGAAGAGCCGACAGAGCCUGUGCCACCUCUUAUAGUUGAUCGUGAGAGAUUGAAGAAAUUGCUUGAUUUGUUGGUAGAUAAAAGCAACAAUUUGACAGUUGAUCAGCUUGAGAGAUUAUAUUCUCUUCUUAGUCAGUGCAUCUAUCGUCAUCGUAAAGAUUAUGACAAAUCACAACUUGUAGAGGAGAUGGAAAGAACAGUUCAUAUGUUUGAGACAUUCCUAUGAACUUUUCAAGAUGAGUGGUUGAUCCUCUCCAAUCUGCUCCUGACAGAGCAGUCUUCUGAGCCAUUCACUUUCAAAUUGCACCAAUUAUGUGCAGAGCCUUGGUGUAAAGUGCUCUCUCACUCAUUCUCUCUCUCUGUUGAAUUUGGUGCUAUUGUCUCAGGUACCUGAAACCAACCAGCCUACAAGAACCAAACAGAACUUCAGAAAUUUGUUGUAUUUUCCACAAAUAAAAAAAUACAACCCCACAGCUUGGAGAUUUUGGUGCUACAGAAACUGCUUUUGCUUCUGCUCCUCCUUUUCGUGCACUGUCUUCUGGAGAUUCUCUUAGGGAGCAGACCAGCAGCAGGAGGAAGCUGGGUGGGCAGUUCUAACUGUGUUGGAUUGUUUAAACAGUGGGCAACCUGUUUUUUGGGUUUCACUUUUUUCCCCCCCUUCUUUUUCCUUUUUUAUCUCUUAUCAUAUUUUCCCCUCUCUGGGUAAUGGACUGAAGCCUGUUUUAAAGUUGGCUAUGAUAUAUUCUGGUGGGAAACUGAAGAAACCAGAUGGAAUUAGAUUAGGCUCUUUAGAACUGCCUUUAAUGUGCCUUUUUAUUCAUUUGAGAAAGAUAAGGCUAAAUGGAUGAGCUCAUUUGUAGCAAAUAAAUUAAAAUAUUUUCUUUGGUUACAACCUUGACAAUAAGUUUCAAUACUCUGUAUCAUUAAGAGACAACUAAUGUUUUGGUAUUGAUGCCUGUCUUGUUCUCAAAGCUCAAUCAAGACACUGAGUAAACCACAUAAUAUACUAAAAAUGGUAAGUUUUUCUGUUUCUGUGUAAGAAACAUGUGAUAAAACAAUGAUAAAUAAUGCACAGUCCAUAACAAAAACUCACACACUUCUCCUUAUUGCUGACAGUGAUGACCAGAGAAUGGAUAGUAGCCAUUCUUCUGUCAGUGGCAAUUUAAUAGUUCUUCGAGUUCCCAGAGAAAAAUGAUUUUCAUGUGUAAUAAAUUGUUAUUGUUUUGUUUUAAAGCCAGGACUUGCCAAAUGAACAGAAAAGAGGAAUUUGUCAGAGGCUCCAUAAAAUUCAUUUUCUGUAUAAUUACAAGUGAGCUCUGGUAUGGUCCUUGAAUAACAGUAUUAAUGUUUGAAUCCCUUCUCAUAAGCUUAUCUUCACAACUCUUCAUUUUGGUUGGAAUCUAUUUUGGAUCUUGUUGAGUGAUUUCUGUGAAUUUUACUUACCUGAAAUUAAUUAUGGGUUACUAGUUUUACAAAAACUUUCUAUAAAUUUGGAGACACAGUCUAGGCAGUUGCAAAGAGGCAAAGGGAGUGCAGUAACAUUUUUUAUCAGAUAAUUUUUUUAAAAAGUGUAGAAAAUUUUGCCGACAAGUUGGCUUGCUAUCUUCAUUUAUUAUAGCUGUUAGCUGCAGGUGUGUCUUUCCAAUAUAUGCAACACAUGUAGUUUGAGUUUUAAUUAGGGCACAUGGUCGUGGACUACUGCAGAGAUACUGAGCUACCUCAGCUUUUUGUGUUUUAGUUACCAACAGUGUUUACAGAGUCCUGUAAUCACUUUACCACCGUUUACAUGCUGAAGCUAAGGUACUUGUCUCCUUGUCUCUGGCUGUCUGUAGUGUGCAGAAAGCACACUUUGGCCUAGGCUACUGCAGUAAUCCCAAGUGCUUCUUUGCAUUUACCUUUACAUUUACUGCCUUCUAGUUCUAGCUUCAUUUUUUUUCCUAAAAUGCCACUUCUUUUCUUUAUGCGUAGUCUAUGAAGUUUUCAUAAUAUUCAGUUUAUCAUAUAAUUCAAGAUGAUACCCAUGUAGACACACUGUAUUUUUAAGGUGGGCAAGUGCGAUUAACGAUGAACCAUUUUAAAGGGGAGGUUAUUUGAAACCUCUAAUUUGAUUAUUGGGAGGAUUUUCAUGCUUUCUUUAGUAUUUAUUACCAUCAUACCAGUUCAAACUAUUUUACUGUCUAAUACAUUAGCAUUUUGUAUUUUGAUGGAAAUUGUUACAGAAUUUAAAGAUUUGAUGAAAUAAGAUGUAGCAGAUUUUUUGUAGCAAGUUUCUGGUAAAAGGGUUUUUUGCAAGUCUCAGGUUCUUGCUGCACUAUUUUUUUUUUUUUUUUUACUAUUUAUUCCAGUUACUCUAAUUCAGAAGCAUUCUGUUCAAGUAACAGCAGCACUUGUGAAAGGAAAAAGAAACAACGCACAUGUUCUUAGUAGAUUACUAAAUUUAUAAAAGUUAAUUAAGAUUUUAGCCAUCAGUGAGUUUGACAAGGGAAAUUUAUUUAUGUCUGGCAUUAAAAUGCUUCCAAAAGAUCAAGAUUUUGUUUUUGUUUAUCCUUCAUGUAGAUGGAGAAAUCAGAGGCAACCUCAGUAUAGGAACUGCCACUUUGAACAGUUUAGGUCUUAAAGAGAAAGCCAAUUUCAUGCCAGGGGGAGAAAAAUGAGCUGAAAUUGUACCAACUCUUCAGACUCCUUUUCCCCCUAAGAAAGAAACACACUACAACCAGUUUCACUUAUUUUACAAAUACCUGGUGGUUCUAUAGUUUAAAGCAGCUUGUGAAAUUAUCCAAGUGGACUCAAUUUUGUUUACCUUUCUGUAAGUUCUUAAUUUUUGCUGUAUAGCAUUGGCAAAAAUAUGUACAAAUUGACCUCUGUUCUUAUUUCCUAUUGUGAGCAUUAUAAAUGAUAAGCUCCAGUGUAAAAUCUUGCUCUCAGAUCAGUAAAAUACAUAUCACAGCCCAGCCCAGCAGUAGUUCAUGCUCAGCUGUAGGGACUCUGGGAGCAUUUUGAAGAUGAUAGAACCACAUUAGGGUUGAAACUGAUGGCUGUGGAGUUAAUUGUGUUUUUGAGCUUGAAUCUUACCUGUGAUUGAGUUUUUUUUAAUGUCCUUUUAUGACUUGAUUUUUCUCAUAUGCCAAUGUAUUUGUAGGUUUACUGGAUUUUACUUUUAGGGAGUGGGGUGGUCAUUUCUUCCCUUUUCUGAUUAAGUUGAUUCAGCUAUGGUGCUAUUCAGUAGGUGUCUUCAGUGUCAGGUCCCGUAGCUGAAUGCCAUUGUUAUUAUAAUUAUUAUUUGUAAUCAUAUUGUAAGCUUGAAUUUGGGCUUGUACUUGCAUCUUUUGUAUUUUGUACAUUUGGUUACUUAGAUUUGGGAGUCCUAUUUGGUUUCAGUCAUGUAUGUCUACUUUGUAGAUUAAGUAGACUUCAUCAACUAUGGUCUAUUUUGGGUUUGUAGUUUAAUUUAGAAUUGUGUUAAAUUGAUGUUUUACAUUUGACUUCAUUUUACCUUAGUUUGAAGUAAAUUAUUUAAUUUUUGAAUUCUGGAAUUUGAACAUUUACUGUAAUUUGUAAUAUAACUGCUGUGAAAUACUUGAAUAAAGAUGAUAAGAAAAACACAGUUUUCUUUAGCUUAAUUAUGAUGACUGUUGGCUGCAAAUCCUGUGCUACUUUUCUGUUGGUGUCAUCUAUUUUACAAUUAGAGGAUAUAAAUGUGUAUUAAGUGCCUCGGAAAAUCUUGUUAUAUGCUUCUUUUUGAUUCUGAGUACACCUGAGGAUUUUUUUUUUUUUUUUAGCUGAAAGCUUUUUCUGUUGAGAAAAUGUGGUUUUAAUUUAGUUGAAGAUUGUCUAAACUAGACAUCAAAUUGAAUGGAAUCAAAUGGAUGACUUUUGAAAUUUGUUUUUCUAUCUGAAUAUUUAGAUAAAGACCUGAUAAUUGCAGUUGAAGCUCAAUCAAGAUUUUAGAACUUUGGAGAUGAAGUUAAGCUUUAUUUAUCCAGAUUUAGUUCCCAAAGGACUCAAAACUACAGUAAAAUCAGAGAUCGAUUGACCAGUUGUUCCCUUCACUUCUUAAAGACUGAAGACCAGGCCCUGUGCCUUUUAAGGUAGUUGAGGAUAAAAAGUUAUUAAGAUUUGGUUAGAGAAGACAUUCACAAGGGUCUUGGUAGCUCAUUCCAGAGUUUUAGCACUAAAAUACAUGGCAACCUAUUGUAAUUCUCUUGGUUACUUUACUUUGAACCCUUUCUAAUUCUUCCAUUUUUUGUGAUGAUCUUCACAAAAGAAAAUUUCUGGUUGAAAAAUAGGGGAGAGAUUACUUUUUGUUCCUUAUUUUUUAAAAAUAUAUGUAUAUAUUUAUGCAGGAGCUGGGGAUGUGGUCUAUGUUAGGACACUUGCCUAGUAUGCGUGAAGUCCUGGGUAUUAGUAUUAUAAUUGUUUGCAUUGUUUCCCCAUAGUUUGUAUUAUGUUCUUAUGAUUGCCCAGAAAUGGAUUCACUGGCUCGGGAUGAACAUCCCUCAGACUCCUGAUAACCCGGUGCCUGCCAUCUUGCUGUUUUCGGACCUUGCAGAUCUCACUGCUCCUCAUCAGCACUUGGAAUACCCCCUUUUAGGCUGAGAGAGUUAAUUUAGUAGGUACAAGAUAUUAUCUAAUUAUUUUGAUUUUUAUUAUUUGGUAACUACAAAUGUUGAACUUUUUGUUAUGUAUUUAUUGGCCACAUUUUCUCCUAUGUAGAUCUAGUACCUGUUUUUUGCUGGAAUUAUUUAACAUUUUCUUAUUGCAUUUUGGGCUUUUUAAUAAAGAUUAAUUCUGUAUCA